CCUACGGGAGGCAGCAGUGAGGAAUAUUGGUCAAUGGACGCAAGCCUGAACCAGCCAAGUAGCGUGAAGGAUGACUGCCCUACGGGUUGUAAACUUCUUUUAUACAGGAGUAAACUGAGGCACGUGUACCUGUUUGAAUGUACUUUAUGAAUAAGGAUCGGCUAACUCCGUGCCAGCAGCCGCGGUAAUACGGAGGAUCCGAGCGUUAUCCGGAUUUAUUGGGUUUAAAGGGAGCGUAGAUGGGUUGUUAAGUUAGUUGUGAAAGUUUGAGGCUCAACCUUAAAAUUGCAAUUGAUACUGGUAGGCUUGAGUACAGUUGAGGUAGGCGGAAUGCAUGGUGUAGCGGUGAAAUGCUUAGAGAUCACGAAGAACUCCGAUUGCGAAGGCAGCUUACUAAGCUGCCACUGACAUUGAUGCUCGAAAGCGUGGGUAGCAAACAGGAUUAGAUACCCGUGUAGUC
RNAcentral lists this ribosomal RNA (460 nucleotides) under uncultured bacterium. RNAcentral describes it as "partial 16S ribosomal RNA". It matches the Rfam family "Bacterial small subunit ribosomal RNA", at positions 338 to 795 of the family's 1533-position model. The record is from RNAcentral.